This 450-nucleotide ribosomal RNA is filed under the name uncultured bacterium. RNAcentral describes it as "partial 16S ribosomal RNA". It matches the Rfam family "Bacterial small subunit ribosomal RNA", at positions 329 to 793 of the family's 1533-position model. The record is from RNAcentral.
GCCCAGACUCCUACGGGAGGCAGCAGUGGGGAAUAUUGGGCAAUGGGCGCAAGCCUGACCCAGCAACGCCGCGUGAAGGAAGAAGGCUUUCGGGUUGUAAACUUCUUUUCUCAGGGACGAAGCAAGUGACGGUACCUGAGGAAUAAGCCACGGCUAACUACGUGCCAGCAGCCGCGGUAAUACGUAGGUGGCAAGCGUUAUCCGGAUUUACUGGGUGUAAAGGGCGUGUAGCCGGGCCGGCAAGUCAGAUGUGAAAUCCCAAGGCUCAACCUUGGAACUGCAUUUGAAACUGUAGUUCUUGAGUACUGGAGAGGCAGACGGAAUUCCUAGUGUAGCGGUGAAAUGCGUAGAUAUUAGGAGGAACACCAGUGGCGAAGGCGGUCUGCUGGACAGCAACUGACGCUGAGGCGCGAAAGCGUGGGGAGCAAACAGGAUUAGAUACCCCAGUAC